UCCCUACGGGAGGCAGCAGUGGGGAAUAUUGCACAAUGGGGGAAACCCUGAUGCAGCGACGCCGCGUGAGUGAAGAAGCGCCUCGGCGCGUAAAGCUCUGUCAGCAGGAACGAUAAUGACGGUACCUGAAGAAGAAGCCACGGCUAACUACGUGCCAGCAGCCGCGGUAAUACGUAGGUGGCGAGCGUUGUCCGGAAUUACUGGGUGUAAAGGGAGUGUAGGCGGGAAAGCAAGUCAGAAGUGAAAACUAUGGGCUUAACCCAUAGCCUGCUUUUGAAACUGUUUUUCUUGGGUGAAGUAGAGGG
This 305-nucleotide ribosomal RNA is filed under the name uncultured bacterium. Its description in RNAcentral is "bacterial SSU rRNA". It matches the Rfam family "Bacterial small subunit ribosomal RNA", at positions 335 to 658 of the family's 1533-position model. The record is from RNAcentral.